Long non-coding RNA from Neogale vison (American mink), 1071 nucleotides. RefSeq lists it as uncharacterized. NCBI's taxonomy places the organism in Eukaryota, Metazoa, Chordata, Mammalia, Carnivora, Mustelidae. The transcript is spliced from 3 exons. The record is from RefSeq and is a predicted model, not a curated record.
AAAAUGAGAAUAAGGCUUUUCCUCAUGCUGUUUUAAUUGCUAAAUAACUCAAGUGUUCUUCAAGCAACAGACAUUCUCCAUAAAGAAACAUUUCUUGACUCCAAGGAACAGAUUAGCACCCACAAAUACAUUUUGCUCUAAAGGUUUGUUUCCAUAGAGAAGAAAAAAGCUACUCCCUCUGGGGUUGAGGGGGAGGGGAUAACUUAAUAAAACCAUCAUUUAUAUUUAGAAUGAACAUUUAUCCCACAGGCAAACCGGAGGAUAGAGGUCAUCUAAGGAUGUGCUCAAGAUAGAAGCCACUCUAUUGCCAAGUUCCAGGGGUUCACUCUCAAUGGCUGGGGAUAAGACAGGACGAGUCAUUGAGUGUCAUUCUGAAAUUGACCCAGAGCUAAAUGGGCUAGUCCCUAUCUUGCUUGUCCUUUUGUUAUAACUUGGAUCCACAGUAAUAAAACCUGUAGCUAAUAUUUACCCGUCUCAUGGAAACACCGCCCUAGAUCCUUUACUUGAUAACCUGGUUCAUGGCUGCAGGAGUCCUGUGAUGCAGGUCGACUGCACUCAGCAAGAUGGUCUGGGAUUCUCGCUGGGGGUUUCCCGUGCAGUUGUAGUCAGGCAGUGGCUGUGGCUGGAGUUGUCUUUUUUCCUGUCACGUUUCCUCACUCAUGUGUCUGCUGGCUAGGAGCCAAGAUGGGGCUGUCACCAAGACCUCUCCACGUGGCCUGGACUUUCCCUAUUGCGUCCCAGCUGGGCUCUGAAAGCAAGCAUCCCUACAGAACAGUGCUGCUGCAACAAAUUACCACAAGCUUGGUUGCUUAAAGCAAGAGAAUUCAUGCUCAGAGUUGGGAAAGCCAGAAGUCUCCAAUCCAAUUGUCAGCAGGACUGGUUUCCUCCAGAAUGUCUGAGGAAGAAUCCCUUCCCUGCCUCCCUCUGAUCUUCUGGUGCUUGCCAACAAUCCUUGGCUUUCCAUGGUUUGUACACUCACUUCUUCAAUCUCCACCCCCAUCUUUUUGUAAAGAAAUACUUUCCUAUGUUUCCUCUUCCCUGUCAUUUUUCUCUUCUUAAAAGAAUACUUGU